GCUAGUUGGAAUACAGACAAGAUGGCUGGAACUCAAGCAGCCGUAUUAGACUAUGAAUUGGAAGUCACCUGUGGCAGAUAGCAAAGAAAUAAAAAGAGGAAGCCUGGGCCAGGCACAGUGGCUCACUCCUGUAAUCCCAGCACUUUGGGAGACUGAGGCAGGAAGAUAGCUUGAGCCCAGGAGUUUGAUAUCUGCCUGGCCAACAUAGUGAGACUUUGUCUCUACAAAUAAUAAUAAAAAAAAAAUUAGCAGGGCAUGGUGACACAUACCUGUGGUCCCAGCUACUUGGGAGGCUGAGGUGGACAUCACGUGAACCCGGGAGGUGUUGGGGCUGCGGUGAGCCAUGAUCACGUCACAGCACUCUGGGCUGGGUGACAGAGUGAGAACUCAUUUCAAAAAAAGGAAGCCUGGAUUACUGAUGUUUGUGGAGCAACUAUACAGCCCUAGACUGCUUACUCUGGGGUUUUGUUUAUAUAAGACAGAAUGAACUUCUAGCUUGUUUAAACAGUUGUCACUUUGAGUUUUCUUUUACUUGGCAGCUUAACCUCAUCCUGAUUGAUAGAGAGCUAUUGGGGAGGACAACCACUGGGCUUCUGACAUGACCGGCGGGAAGCCUGAACCCUCUGGAUGGUCAUCUCGCCACCACACGGGAAGGAAGUUUGCCUGAAUAAAGCCGACAUAGAAGGAGGCAAGAAGCUUCCUGAGGCCUCACCAGGAGCAAAUGCCAGCACCAUGCUUCUUGCACAACCUGCAGAACCAGAAACCAAAAUAAACUUUUCUUUACAAAUUACCCAGCCUCACAAAUUCCUUCAUAGCAAUGCAAACUGACUAACACAGGCCAGGUGCAGGGGCUCACACCUGUAAUCCCAGCACUUGGGAGGCCAAGGUGGGUGGAUUACCUGAGGUCAGGAGUUUGAGACCAGCCUGGCCAACAUGGCGAAAACCCAUCUCUACUAAAAAUACAAAAAGUAGCUGGGCAUGGUGGUGUAUGCCUGUAGUUUCAGCUACUUGGGAGGCUGAAGCAGGAGAAUCGCGUGAACCUAGGAGGCAGAGGUUGCAGUGAGCCGAGAUCACACCACUGUACCCCAGCCUGGCUGACAGAGUGAGAUUCCAUUUCAAAAAACAAACAAACAAAUAAACACUGACUAACACGGGCAUACCCUUGAUUUUGUCAUAUCUCUGAAUGAAGGUUUGCCAGACAGACCUUCUAGCAGGAAUUUCAGUUUCCUGAGAACAGGGUCUUUCUUGGAUUUGUUUACAGUUAUGUCUUCAUUUGAUAAAUAUUCACUACAUGAGUUAAUUGGAGGCUGGGUGCUGUGGCUCAUGCUUCUAAUUCCAGUUCUUUGGAAGGCGGAGGUGGGAGGAUCCCUUGAGCUCAGGAGUUCAAGACCAGCCUGGGCAACACAGUAAGACUUUCUACAGAAAUUUUUAAAAAUUAGCCAGGCCUGGUGGUGUGUACCUGUAGUCCCAGCUACCUGGGGAGCUAAGGCAGAAGGAUAGCUUGAGAACAGAAGUUCGAGGGUGCAGUGAGCCGUGAUUGCACCAGUGCACUUCACCUGGAGUGAUUCUGUCUCAAAAAGAAAAAAAAAAAAGUUAAUGAGAGACUGAGGCAGACAUGGUACAAGACCCCCCAUUCCCAUAGACUGCCUUUGCAUUUAUUUCUGAAUGAGUUUUGGGAAGGGGAUGACCUCUUUCUGCUGUAUCUCUAGGAGCUAGGUGAGGGUUCCAGGGAUAAGCAAAAGGUGUCCCAGCAUCUUGGCAUAUAUUUCCAGACACUCUCCCCUCAGUUGCUCAUCAGAGGCGCCCUCUGAGAGAUUUCCAGAAAACUUAUGGAGAGUCAAGCAUUUGCUUAUCUUUGGGAGGCAUAUACAUUCCCCUUUGCUGUCUCUGAAGGUUGUUAUCUGAAAACUGUCUAGACUUUAGAUUCAAGCUGGGCAGGAGAAGGGCAAUGAAAUACUUCUCCACUUGGGGGUGGGGCUGGACGCGAUGAAAUAUUUCCACUGCUGACCUGUGGGGCUGACUCCCUGCACAGUCAGCUCGAGGCCCCACAACUCGGGGCAUGGGGUUUGUCAGUGUCUCAGUGCC
Molecule: long non-coding RNA, 2085 nt
Organism: Papio anubis (olive baboon)
Lineage: Eukaryota; Metazoa; Chordata; Mammalia; Primates; Cercopithecidae
Source: Ensembl